This 253-nucleotide ribosomal RNA is filed under the name uncultured bacterium. RNAcentral describes it as "partial 16S ribosomal RNA". It matches the Rfam family "Bacterial small subunit ribosomal RNA", at positions 524 to 776 of the family's 1533-position model. The record is from RNAcentral.
UACGUAGGGAGCAAGCGUUGUCCGGAAUCAUUGGGCGUAAAGCGCGCGUAGGUGGCCUGUCGCGUCGGCUGUGAAAACUCGGGGCUCAACUCCGAGCUUGCAGUCGAUACGGGCAGGCUAGAGUUCGGCAGGGGAGACUGGAAUUCCUGGUGUAGCGGUGAAAUGCGCAGAUAUCAGGAGGAACACCGGUGGCGAAGGCGGGUCUCUGGGCCGAUACUGACACUGAGGAGCGAAAGCGUGGGGAGCGAACAGG